UCGGCCCCGGUUCACGCUGCCGCCUCCGACGGCGACCCGGGUCC
RNAcentral lists this non-coding RNA (44 nucleotides) under unclassified sequences. RNAcentral describes it as "L31-Actinobacteria ribosomal protein leader". It matches the Rfam family "L31-Actinobacteria ribosomal protein leader". The record is from RNAcentral.